AGUUGGAGUAUAACUGUGAGUGCGGUGCCACCACUUCGAGCCAGCGCUUGUCAUUUCUAACACUGCCAAGAGUGCUGGUCUUGCACCUUAAGCGCUUCAAGUUCACUCCAUCUUUCCAGCUCAGGAAGGUACAUGACCCAGUUGUUAUCGUCCGAGAGCUGGUGCUGCAAUCCAACCAGGAUGGUGGCUGCUACAGUCUGGUCAGCUCCAUCAACC
This is a long non-coding RNA of Pseudoliparis swirei, 216 nucleotides long. RefSeq lists it as uncharacterized. The record is from RefSeq and is a predicted model, not a curated record. The transcript is spliced from 3 exons. Lineage: Eukaryota; Metazoa; Chordata; Actinopteri; Perciformes; Liparidae.